GUGGGGAAUAUUGGGCAAUGGGCGAAAGCCUGACCCAGCAACGCCGCGUGAAGGAAGAAGGUUUUCGGAUCGUAAACUUCUAUCCUUGGUGAAGAUAAUGACGGUAGCCAAGAAGGAAGCCCCGGCUAACUACGUGCCAGCAGCCGCGGUAAUACGUAGGGGGCAAGCGUUGUCCGGAAUGAUUGGGCGUAAAGGGCGCGUAGGCGGCCUGGUAAGUCUGGAGUGAAAGUCCUGCUUUUAAGGUGGGAAUUGCUUUGGAUACUGUCGGGCUUGAGUGCAGGAGAGGUAAGUGGAAUUCCCGGUGUAGCGGUGAAAUGCGUAGAGAUCGGGAGGAACACCAGUGGCGAAGGCGGCUUACUGGUCCAUUACUGACGCUGAGGUGCGAAAGCGUGGGGAGCAAACAGGAUUAGAUACCCCUGUAGUCC
Molecule: ribosomal RNA, 425 nt
Filed under: uncultured bacterium
Lineage: Bacteria
Description: partial 16S ribosomal RNA
Rfam family: Bacterial small subunit ribosomal RNA
Source: RNAcentral